This 660-nucleotide long non-coding RNA is filed under the name Neodiprion pinetum (white pine sawfly). RNAcentral's name for it is "uncharacterized LOC124215545". Lineage: Eukaryota; Metazoa; Arthropoda; Insecta; Hymenoptera; Diprionidae. The record is from RNAcentral.
AGAUCUUUUCCCCUCUCUCGUCGACCCUAUACAAACCACCACCCACCACUAAUUAAAAUAAAACAUUUUUCUUACCCUGCUCGGCGUGGUUUAAAACUUAUUCCCUUCUUUUCUUCUUCCAUCGGUCGCGCGCUGGUCACGGACUGAAAAAAAUAACAAGUACGAUGGAAAAAGAAGAAGAGAAAAUUAUGGAAAAAAAAAAAAACUGGCGGGGAGCUCAGAAUAAGACGAGAUAACCAGCUUUGAAGUGGAUAGUAUAUAUACCUUUUAUCCCCAGCAAAACUACGUUAACCUCCCUGGUUACAAUAUUAAGCAAGAAAAAACGUCAAGUGCACCGCGCGGAUACUUUAAAUUGAGCUUCCCUGACACGUGAUUUACUAUGGUUACGCGAGGUAUAGCUUAUACGCGAUCGGAGAGGGUCUCACCUUGCCUUCCGGGCAAACUUGUAAAAAAUACAUGGGGUGCACCAGCAUCAGGCUCUCGGCUUGGGGAUCUCCUGCCUGCCUGCCUGCCGCCCCAAUCUCGGCGCAUGAGACGUAUUCGAUUUCAAAAACAUUCACCAUUCCGGUCCGUUCGAUCCGUAUUUAUAUGUAUAUGAAUACUGUACGUGUCUCUCCCCGGAAAUUUUACUUGCAAAGGAUCAAUUCAAGAUUUCGAGAA